CAGUAGCCGCGGUAAUACGUAGGUGGCAAGCGUUGUCCGGAAUUAUUGGGCGUAAAGGGCUCGCAGGCGGUUUCUUAAGUCUGAUGUGAAAGCCCCCGGCUCAACCGGGGAGGGUCAUUGGAAACUGGGAAACUUGAGUGCAGAAGAGGAGAGUGGAAUUCCACGUGUAGCGGUGAAAUGCGUAGAGAUGUGGAGGAACACCAGUGGCGAAGGCGACUCUCUGGUCUGUAACUGACGCUGAGGAGCGAAAGCGUGGGGAGCGAACAGGAUUAGAGACCCGUGUAGUCCCUGUCUCUUAUAC
This 301-nucleotide ribosomal RNA is filed under the name uncultured bacterium. RNAcentral's name for it is "partial 16S ribosomal RNA". It matches the Rfam family "Bacterial small subunit ribosomal RNA", at positions 509 to 807 of the family's 1533-position model. The record is from RNAcentral.